UGGAAACUUACUAAGUGAUCACUUUCAAAUUCAGAGAAACCCUGGAAUUAACAAAAAUGGGCAAUCCUGAGCCAAAUCCUGUUUUCCGAAAACAAACAAAGGUUCAGAAAAAAAAGGAUAGGUGCAGAGACUCAAUGGAAGCUAUUCUAACAAAUGGAGUUAAAUGCGUUGGUAGAGGAAUCUUUACAUCGAAACUUCAGAAAGAAAAAGAAUGAAGUGAAGGAUAAACGUAUAUACAUACGUAUUGAAUACUAUAUCAAAUGAUUAAUGAUGACCCGAAUCGGUAUUUUUUCUAUAAAAAAUAGAAGAGUUGGUGUGAAUCGAUUCUACAUUGAAGAAAGAAUCGAAUAUUCAUUGAUCAAAUCAUUCACUCCAUAGUCUGAUAGAUCUUUUGAAGAACUGAUUAAUCGGACGAGAAUAAAGAUAGAGUCCCGUUCUACAUGUCAAUACCGGCAACAAUGAAAUUUAUAGUAAGAGGAAAAUCCGUCGACUUUAAAAAUCGUGAGGGUUCAAGUCCCUCUAUCCCCAAAAAGACUAUUUCACUCCCCAACUAUUUAUCCGACCCCC
This 567-nucleotide precursor RNA is filed under the name Nicotiana cordifolia. RNAcentral's name for it is "partial transfer RNA-Leu(UAA)". The stretch from base 1 to 453 matches the Rfam family "Group I catalytic intron", at positions 27 to 253 of the family's 253-position model. Rfam says of the family: Group I catalytic introns are large self-splicing ribozymes. They catalyse their own excision from mRNA, tRNA and rRNA precursors in a wide range of organisms. The core secondary structure consists of 9 paired regions (P1-P9). Lineage: Eukaryota; Viridiplantae; Streptophyta; Magnoliopsida; Solanales; Solanaceae. The record is from RNAcentral.